Molecule: ribosomal RNA, 241 nt
Filed under: uncultured Staphylococcus sp.
Lineage: Bacteria; Bacillati; Bacillota; Bacilli; Caryophanales; Staphylococcaceae
Description: partial 16S ribosomal RNA
Rfam family: Bacterial small subunit ribosomal RNA
Source: RNAcentral
CUGACGGGUGAGUAACACGUGGAUAACCUACCUAUAAGACUGGGAUAACUUCGGGAAACCGGAGCUAAUACCGGAUAAUAUAUUUAACCGCAUGGUUCAAUAGUGAAAGACGGUUUUGCUGUCACUUAUAGAUGGAUCCGCGCCGCAUUAGCUAGUUGGUAAGGUAACGGCUUACCAAGGCAACGAUGCGUAGCCGACCUGAGAGGGUGAUCGGCCACACUGGAACUGAGACACGGUCCAG